RNAcentral lists this ribosomal RNA (482 nucleotides) under uncultured bacterium. RNAcentral's name for it is "partial 16S ribosomal RNA". It matches the Rfam family "Bacterial small subunit ribosomal RNA", at positions 30 to 507 of the family's 1533-position model. The record is from RNAcentral.
AUUGAACGCUGGCGGCAUGCUUUACACAUGCAAGUCGAACGGUAACAGCACUUCGGUGGCUGACGAGUGGCGAACGGGUGAGUAAUACAUCGGAACGUGCCUAGUAGUGGGGGAUAACUACUCGAAAGAGUAGCUAAUACCGCAUGAGAUCUAAGGAUGAAAGCAGGGGACCUUCGGGCCUUGCGCUACUAGAGCGGCUGAUGGCAGAUUAGGUAGUUGGUGGGAUAAAAGCUUACCAAGCCGACGAUCUGUAGCUGGUCUGAGAGGACGACCAGCCACACUGGGACUGAGCCACGGCCCAGACUCCUACGGGAGGCAGCAGUGGGGAAUUUUUGCCAAUGGGCGCAAGCCUGAUCCAGCAAUGCCGCGUGCAGGACGAAGGCCUUCGGGUUGUAAACUGCUUUUGUACGGAACGAAAAGCCCUCUUCUAAUACAGGAGGGUCAUGACGGUACCGUAAGAAUAAGCACCGGCUAACUACGUG